GGCGGCAUGCCUUACACAUGCAAGUCGAACGGCAGCACGGGGGCAACCCUGGUGGCGAGUGGCGAACGGGUGAGUAAUACAUCGGAACGUGUCCUGUAGUGGGGGAUAGCCCGGCGAAAGCCGGAUUAAUACCGCAUACGAUCUACGGAAGAAAGCGGGGGAUCGCAAGACCUCGCGCUAUAGGGGCGGCCGAUGGCAGAUUAGCUAGUUGGUGGGGUAAAGGCCUACCAAGGCGACGAUCUGUAGCUGGUCUGAGAGGACGACCAGCCACACUGGGACUGAGACACGGCCCAGACUCCUACGGGAGGCAGCAGUGGGGAAUUUUGGACAAUGGGCGAAAGCCUGAUCCAGCAAUGCCGCGUGUGUGAAGAAGGCCUUCGGGUUGUAAAGCACUUUUGUCCGGAAAGAAAACCUCUUGGUUAAUACC
This 427-nucleotide ribosomal RNA is filed under the name uncultured beta proteobacterium. Its description in RNAcentral is "bacterial SSU rRNA". It matches the Rfam family "Bacterial small subunit ribosomal RNA", at positions 38 to 479 of the family's 1533-position model. The record is from RNAcentral. Lineage: Bacteria; Pseudomonadati; Pseudomonadota; Betaproteobacteria.